Molecule: small nucleolar RNA, 90 nt
Filed under: Xyrichtys novacula (pearly razorfish)
Lineage: Eukaryota; Metazoa; Chordata; Actinopteri; Labriformes; Labridae
Rfam family: Small nucleolar RNA SNORD60
About the family: U60 belongs to the C/D class of snoRNA which contain the C (UGAUGA) and D (CUGA) box motifs. Most of the members of the box C/D family function in directing site-specific 2'-O-methylation of substrate RNAs.
Source: RNAcentral
AGCCUGUGAAGACAAACUCAAAUAAACUUUUCUGACACCUACUAUGAGAGCUGAAAUCCAGCUCCUGAUUCGGACUUUAUUCUGAGGCUC